UACGGGGGGGGCAAGCGUUGUUCGGAAUUACUGGGCGUAAAGGGUUCGUAGGUGGCCAACUUAGUCAGACGUGAAAUCCCUCAGCUUAACUGGGGAACUGCGUCUGAUACUGGAUGGCUCGAGUGCAGGAGAGGAACGCGGAAUUCCAGGUGUAGCGGUGAAAUGCGUAGAUAUCUGGAAGAACACCAGUGGCGAAGGCGGCUCACUGGACCGGUAUUGACGCUGAGGUGCGAAAGCGUGGGGAGCAAACAGG
This 253-nucleotide ribosomal RNA is filed under the name uncultured bacterium. RNAcentral describes it as "partial 16S ribosomal RNA". It matches the Rfam family "Bacterial small subunit ribosomal RNA", at positions 524 to 776 of the family's 1533-position model. The record is from RNAcentral.